This is a transfer RNA of Tuber melanosporum (Perigord truffle), 99 nucleotides long. It matches the Rfam family "tRNA". From Rfam's summary of the family: Transfer RNA (tRNA) molecules are approximately 80 nucleotides in length. Their secondary structure includes four short double-helical elements and three loops (D, anti-codon, and T loops). The record is from Rfam. NCBI's taxonomy places the organism in Eukaryota, Fungi, Ascomycota, Pezizomycetes, Pezizales, Tuberaceae.
GGCAAGAUGGCCGAGUUGGUUAUGGCGCCAGGUUAAGGUUAUCUUAACACGCAUCCUGGUUCGGGAAACCGAGCGUGGGUUCAAGUCCCACUCUUGUCA